Molecule: ribosomal RNA, 253 nt
Filed under: uncultured bacterium
Lineage: Bacteria
Description: partial 16S ribosomal RNA
Rfam family: Bacterial small subunit ribosomal RNA
Source: RNAcentral
UACGGAGGGAGCUAGCGUUGUUCGGAAUUACUGGGCGUAAAGCGCACGUAGGCGGCUAUUCAAGUCGGGGGUGAAAGCCCGGGGCUCAACCCCGGAACAGCCCUCGAAACUAGAUAGCUAGAAUCUUGGAGAGGCGAGUGGAAUUCCGAGUGUAGAGGUGAAAUUCGUAGAUAUUCGGAAGAACACCGGUGGCGAAGGCGACUCGCUGGACAAGUAUUGACGCUGAGGUGCGAAAGCGUGGGGAGCAAACAGG